This 253-nucleotide ribosomal RNA is filed under the name uncultured bacterium. Its description in RNAcentral is "partial 16S ribosomal RNA". It matches the Rfam family "Bacterial small subunit ribosomal RNA", at positions 524 to 776 of the family's 1533-position model. The record is from RNAcentral.
UACGUAGGGGGCAAGCGUUGUCCGGAUUUACUGGGCGUAAAGCGCCCGUAGGCGGGAGGGCAAGUCUGGCUUGAAAGCCCCCGGCUCAACCGGGGAAGGUGGCUGGAAACUGCUCUUCUGGAGGGCGGCAGAGGCGUGUGGAAUUCCUGGUGUAGCGGUGAAAUGCGUAGAGAUCAGGAGGAACACCCAUGGCGAAGGCAGCACGCUGGGCCGACCCUGACGCUGAGGGGCGAAAGCGUGGGGAGCGAACGGG